GAUCCUGGCUCAGGAUGAACGCUAGCUACAGGCUUAACACAUGCAAGUCGAGGGGGCGAGCAUGGUCUUAGCUUGCUAAGGCCGAUGGCGACCGGCGCACGGGUGAGUAACGCGUAUCCAACCUGCCUUACACUCUUGGACAGCCUUCUGAAAGGGAGAUUAAUACAAGAUGUUAUCAUGAGUAAGCAUUUUCACAUGAUUAAAGGUUUACCGGUGUAAGAUGGGGAUGCGUUCCA
RNAcentral lists this ribosomal RNA (236 nucleotides) under uncultured bacterium. RNAcentral's name for it is "partial 16S ribosomal RNA". It matches the Rfam family "Bacterial small subunit ribosomal RNA", at positions 15 to 240 of the family's 1533-position model. The record is from RNAcentral.